Molecule: ribosomal RNA, 398 nt
Filed under: uncultured bacterium
Lineage: Bacteria
Description: partial 16S ribosomal RNA
Rfam family: Bacterial small subunit ribosomal RNA
Source: RNAcentral
AUACGUAGGGUGCGAGCGUUGUCCGGAAUUACUGGGCGUAAAGAGCUCGUAGGUGGUUUGUCGCGUCGUCUGUGAAAUUCCGGGGCUUAACUCCGGGCGUGCAGGCGAUACGGGCAUAACUUGAGUACUGUAGGGGAGACUGGAAUUCCUGGUGUAGCGGUGAAAUGCGCAGAUAUCAGGAGGAACACCGGUGGCGAAGGCGGGUUUCUGGGCAGUAACUGACGCUGAGGAGCUAAAGCAUGGGUAGCGAACAGGAUUAGAUACCCUGGUAGUCCAUGCCGUAAACGGUGGGCGCUAGGUGUAGGGGUCUUCCACGACUUCUGUGCCGUAGCUAACGCAUUAAGCGCCCCGCCUGGGGAGUACGGCCGCAAGGCUAAAACUCAAAUGAAUUGACGGGG